ACCUUUCCUCACAUCGCCCAUUGGUGACCCACCACCUGGAUGGCACCCUUCCUCCCUCUGUCUCUCUGGAGUACUCACAUGUAAGGGGACACAUAGGGGGCGCAAAGAGAACCAAAUCCAAAUACAGAAUUAGAGCGGGGUCGCCACUGAGGACAGGUUCAAAAGGGGGGGGCCGAGGGAGGAACCAGACAUUUAGGGGUCAAGACCAAGACCAAGGCAGGGCGAGACCAAGACAAGACCAAGACAUUUAGGGAUCCAGACCGAGACAAGAUCAAGACAUUUAGGAAUCAAGACCAAGACAAGACCAAGGCAGACCGAGUAAAAAUGCUUUCGAUUCCAAGAUGAGACUGAGACCUUCAAAAAGCGGUCUCGAGACCAAAGACCGAUUUCGAGUACUACAACACUAAAGCAGAAUCUUUCAGGGAAAGUCUUCAUAUAUUCAGGUAGCCUCUUAUUAGUUCUUACAGAAUAAACACUUCAAUGGGAAAAUACUAGAAAUGGGAAAACAACCAAGAGGCACACACAGGUCAUAAACAAGGACACAUAACCCGAGACAGGGAGAGAGAUGGAGGGAUCAAGGUGGACCACCAGGUCUUUGGGUAAGUGAAAGACAAAGAACAUUCGUCCUUCCGUCUUCUCCUUUUUUUUAUUUGUAUUUUUUUUACCUGUCCGUCCAUGUUCCUUUCUGUUUAAACUUCAGCACUUUAGCUUUUUGGAAUCAGGCAUGUCUUGUUGUAAUCUCACACAGUAUGAUUCUUUGCGUACCUUUUUUUUUUUUUGUGUGUGUCUGUGAAUGUCCCUUUUGGUGAUUGUGUGCGCGUGCAGUCCUCUUUUUUAAUUCACAUAUUUAUUGUUGCCAGCAGAUGAUUUUUAAGCUACACAAGCCUAGAUGAAUUCUUCUCUUUCUCUCGGUGUGGCUCUGUGUUUGUAAUUUUUGGCUCAUCUGUUUUUUUUGGGGGGGGGGAUUGGGGGAAGAGUUCAGCUAUCCCUCUCUCCCCUUUUGUAGAUUGUAGUUGAUUGCUUUUAAGUUGAUUGGCCGUGCCCACGCCCCCACCCACCCUAUCCCCCGCCCCCAC
Labrus mixtus (cuckoo wrasse) is the source of this 1076-nucleotide long non-coding RNA. RefSeq lists it as uncharacterized. The record is from RefSeq and is a predicted model, not a curated record. Lineage: Eukaryota; Metazoa; Chordata; Actinopteri; Labriformes; Labridae. The transcript has 2 exons.